Mus musculus (house mouse) is the source of this 71-nucleotide non-coding RNA. NCBI's taxonomy places the organism in Eukaryota, Metazoa, Chordata, Mammalia, Rodentia, Muridae. The record is from Rfam.
UGAUCAGUUAGGCUUGUGGCUAUAUUCCAGGAAUUAUCUGGUUCUGGGUAUAACCAAAGCCAGACUGAAUG